Molecule: ribosomal RNA, 465 nt
Filed under: uncultured bacterium
Lineage: Bacteria
Description: partial 16S ribosomal RNA
Rfam family: Bacterial small subunit ribosomal RNA
Source: RNAcentral
CCUACGGGGGGCUGCAGUGGGGAAUAUUGCGCAAUGGGCGAAAGCCUGACGCAGCGACGCCGCGUGAGGGAUGAAGGUCUUCGGAUCGUAAACCUCUGUCAGCAGGGAAGAACGGUCACUGUGCUAAUCAGCAGUGAAUUGACGGUACCUGCAAAGGAAGCACCGGCUAACUCCGUGCCAGCAGCCGCGGUAAUACGGAGGGUGCGAGCGUUAAUCGGAAUUACUGGGCGUAAAGCGCUCGUAGGCGGUAUGUCAAGUCAAGGGUGAAAUCCCCGCGCUCAACGUGGGAACUGCCUUUGAAACUGGCAAACUGGAGUGUGGGAGAGGGUGGUGGAAUUCCAGGUGUAGGAGUGAAAUGCGUAGAUAUCUGGAGGAACAUCAGUGGCGAAGGCGACUAUCUGGCACAUAACUGACGCUGAGGAGCGAAAGCGUGGGUAGCAAACAGGAUUAGAUACCCCUGUAGUC